RNAcentral lists this ribosomal RNA (233 nucleotides) under Weissella cibaria. Its description in RNAcentral is "partial 16S ribosomal RNA". It matches the Rfam family "Bacterial small subunit ribosomal RNA", at positions 548 to 781 of the family's 1533-position model. Lineage: Bacteria; Bacillati; Bacillota; Bacilli; Lactobacillales; Lactobacillaceae. The record is from RNAcentral.
GAUUUAUUGGGCGUAAGCGAGCGCAGACGGUUAUUUAAGUCUGAAGUGAAAGCCCUCAGCUCAACUGAGGAAUUGCUUUGGAAACUGGAUGACUUGAGUGCAGUAGAGGAAAGUGGAACUCCAUGUGUAGCGGUGAAAUGCGUAGAUAUAUGGAAGAACACCAGUGGCGAAGGCGGCUUUCUGGACUGUAACUGACGUUGAGGCUCGAAAGUGUGGGUAGCAAACAGGAUUAG